This 23-nucleotide non-coding RNA is filed under the name Arabidopsis thaliana (thale cress). Lineage: Eukaryota; Viridiplantae; Streptophyta; Magnoliopsida; Brassicales; Brassicaceae. The record is from RNAcentral.
CAAGGAAACCGUGCCGUCGUCUC